RNAcentral lists this ribosomal RNA (113 nucleotides) under uncultured eukaryote. RNAcentral's name for it is "partial small subunit ribosomal RNA". It matches the Rfam family "Eukaryotic small subunit ribosomal RNA", at positions 1676 to 1785 of the family's 1831-position model. The record is from RNAcentral.
UCGCUACUACCGAUUGAAUGGCUUAGUGAGCCCGAGGGACUGUUGCACCUAGAGGGGUUUCUCUCCAGGAGCAGCCGGGAACUCGGUCAAACUUGAUCAUUUAGAGGAAGUAA